RNAcentral lists this ribosomal RNA (460 nucleotides) under uncultured bacterium. RNAcentral describes it as "partial 16S ribosomal RNA". It matches the Rfam family "Bacterial small subunit ribosomal RNA", at positions 338 to 795 of the family's 1533-position model. The record is from RNAcentral.
CCUCCGGGGGGCAGCAGUGAGGAAUAUUGGUCAAUGGGCGUAAGCCUGAACCAGCCAAGUCGCGUGAGGGAUGAAGGUUCUAUGGAUCGUACACCUCUUUUAUAAGGGAAUAAAGUGUGGGACGUGUCCUAUUUUGUAUGUACCUUAUGAAUAAGGAUCGGCUAACUCCGUGCCAGCAGCCGCGGUAAUACGGAGGAUCCGAGCGUUAUCCGGAUUUGUUGGGGUUAAAGGGUGCGUAGGCGGCCUUUUAAGUAAGCGGUGAAAGUCUGUGGCUCAACCAUAGAAUUGCCGUUGAAACUGGGGGGCUUGAGGAUGUUUGAGGCAGGCGGAAUGCUGGGUGUAGCGGUGAAAUGCUUAGAUAUCACGCAGAACCCCGAUUACGAAGGCAGCCUGCCAAGCCAUGACUGACGCUGAUGCACGAAAGCGUGGGGAUCAAACAGGAUUAGAUACCCUUGUAGUC